CGGGACACGUGGUAUCCUGUCUGAAUAUGGGGGGACCAUCCUCCAAGGCUAAAUACUCCUGACUGACCGAUAGUGAACCAGUACCGUGAGGGAAAGGCGAAAAGAACCCCGGCGAGGGGAGUGAAAAAGAACCUGAAACCGUGUACGUACAAGCAGUGGGAGCACGCUUAGGCGUGUGACUGCGUACCUUUUGUAUAAUGGGUCAGCGACUUAUAUUCUGUAGCAAGGUUAACCGAAUAGGGGAGCCGAAGGGAAACCGAGUCUUAACUGGGCGUUAAGUUGCAGGGUAUAGACCCGAAACCCGGUGAUCUAGCCAUGGGCAGGUUGAAGGUUGGGUAACACUAACUGGAGGACCGAACCGACUAAUGUUGAAAAAUUAGCGGAUGACUUGUGGCUGGGGGUGAAAGGCCAAUCAAACCGGGAGAUAGCUGGUUCUCCCCGAAAGCUAUUUAGGUAGCGCCUCGUGAAUUCAUCUCCGGGGGUAGAGCACUGUUUCGGCAAGGGGGUCAUCCCGACUUACCAACCCGAUGCAAACUGCGAAUACCGGAGAAUGUUAUCACGGGAGACACACGGCGGGUGCUAACGUCCGUCGUGAAGAGGGAAACAACCCAGACCGCCAGCUAAGGUCCCAAAGUCAUGGUUAAGUGGGAAACGAUGUGGGAAGGCCCAGACAGCCAGGAUGUUGGCUUAGAAGCAGCCAUCAUUUAAAGAAAGCGUAAUAGCUCACUGGUCGAGUCGGCCUGCGCGGAAGAUGUAACGGGGCUAAACCAUGCACCGAAGCUGCGGCAGCGACACUAUGUGUUGUUGGGUAGGGGAGCGUUCUGUAAGCCUGUGAAGGUGUACUGUGAGGUAUGCUGGAGGUAUCAGAAGUGCGAAUGCUGACAUAAGUAACGAUAAAGCGGGUGAAAAGCCCGCUCGCCGGAAGACCAAGGGUUCCUGUCCAACGUUAAUCGGGGCAGGGUGAGUCGACCCCUAAGGCGAGGCCGAAAGGCGUAGUCGAUGGGAAACAGGUUAAUAUUCCUGUACUUGGUGUUACUGCGAAGGGGGGACGGAGAAGGCUAUGUUGGCCGGGCGACGGUUGUCCCGGUUUAAGCGUGUAGGCUGGUUUUCCAGGCAAAUCCGGAAAAUCAAGGCUGAGGCGUGAUGACGAGGCACUACGGUGCUGAAGCAACAAAUGCCCUGCUUCCAGGAAAAGCCUCUAAGCAUCAGGUAACAUCAAAUCGUACCCCAAACCGACACAGGUGGUCAGGUAGAGAAUACCAAGGCGCUUGAGAGAACUCGGGUGAAGGAACUAGGCAAAAUGGUGCCGUAACUUCGGGAGAAGGCACGCUGAUAUGUAGGUGAAGUCCCUCGCGGAUGGAGCUGAAAUCAGUCGAAGAUACCAGCUGGCUGCAACUGUUUAUUAAAAACACAGCACUGUGCAAACACGAAAGUGGACGUAUACGGUGUGACGCCUGCCCGGUGCCGGAAGGUUAAUUGAUGGGGUUAGCGCAAGCGAAGCUCUUGAUCGAAGCCCCGGUAAACGGCGGCCGUAACUAUAACGGUCCUAAGGUAGCGAAAUUCCUUGUCGGGUAAGUUCCGACCUGCACGAAUGGCGUAAUGAUGGCCAGGCUGUCUCCACCCGAGACUCAGUGAAAUUGAACUCGCUGUGAAGAUGCAGUGUACCCGCGGCAAGACGGAAAGACCCCGUGAACCUUUACUAUAGCUUGACACUGAACAUUGAGCCUUGAUGUGUAGGAUAGGUGGGAGGCUUUGAAGUGUGGACGCCAGUCUGCAUGGAGCCGACCUUGAAAUACCACCCUUUAAUGUUUGAUGUUCUAACGUUGACCCGUAAUCCGGGUUGCGGACAGUGUCUGGUGGGUAGUUUGACUGGGGCGGUCUCCUCCUAAAGAGUAACGGAGGAGCACGAAGGUUGGCUAAUCCUGGUCGGACAUCAGGAGGUUAGUGCAAUGGCAUAAGCCAGCUUGACUGCGAGCGUGACGGCGCGAGCAGGUGCGAAAGCAGGUCAUAGUGAUCCGGUGGUUCUGAAUGGAAGGGCCAUCGCUCAACGGAUAAAAGGUACUCCGGGGAUAACAGGCUGAUACCGCCCAAGAGUUCAUAUCGACGGCGGUGUUUGGCACCUCGAUGUCGGCUCAUCACAUCCUGGGGCUGAAGUAGGUCCCAAGGGUAUGGCUGUUCGCCAUUUAAAGUGGUACGCGAGCUGGGUUUAGAACGUCGUGAGACAGUUCGGUCCCUAUCUGCCGUGGGCGCUGGAGAACUGAGGGGGGCUGCUCCUAGUACGAGAGGACCGGAGUGGACGCAUCACUGGUGUUCGGGUUGUCAUGCCAAUGGCACUGCCCGGUAGCUAAAUGCGGAAGAGAUAAGUGCUGAAAGCAUCUAAGCACG
RNAcentral lists this ribosomal RNA (2385 nucleotides) under Escherichia coli. RNAcentral's name for it is "partial 23S ribosomal RNA". It matches the Rfam family "Bacterial large subunit ribosomal RNA", at positions 418 to 2789 of the family's 2925-position model. Lineage: Bacteria; Pseudomonadati; Pseudomonadota; Gammaproteobacteria; Enterobacterales; Enterobacteriaceae. The record is from RNAcentral.